UUACCCCAUAGCUUAAAGGUAAGAGCGACUAGUCUUGGCUAGGAAGGUGCAGGUUCGAAACUUGUUGGGGUAGUAAG
This 77-nucleotide transfer RNA is filed under the name Bacillus phage JL. Its description in RNAcentral is "tRNA-Lys". It matches the Rfam family "tRNA". From Rfam's summary of the family: Transfer RNA (tRNA) molecules are approximately 80 nucleotides in length. Their secondary structure includes four short double-helical elements and three loops (D, anti-codon, and T loops). Further hydrogen bonds mediate the characteristic L-shaped molecular structure. tRNAs have two regions of fundamental functional importance: the anti-codon, which is responsible for specific mRNA codon recognition, and the 3' end, to which the tRNAs corresponding amino acid is attached (by aminoacyl-tRNA synthetases). tRNAs cope with the degeneracy of the genetic code in two manners: having more than one tRNA (with a specific anti-codon) for a particular amino acid; and 'wobble' base-pairing, i.e. permitting non-standard base-pairing at the 3rd anti-codon position. Lineage: Duplodnaviria; Heunggongvirae; Uroviricota; Caudoviricetes; Herelleviridae. The record is from RNAcentral.